Molecule: ribosomal RNA, 253 nt
Filed under: uncultured bacterium
Lineage: Bacteria
Description: partial 16S ribosomal RNA
Rfam family: Bacterial small subunit ribosomal RNA
Source: RNAcentral
UACGAAGGGGGCUAGCGUUGCUGGGAAUCACUGGGCGUAAAGGGCGCGUAGGCGGACUUUUAAGUCGGGGGUGAAAGCCCAGGGCUCAACCCUGGAAUUGCCUUCGAUACUGAGGGUCUUGAGUUCGGAAGAGGUUGGUGGAACUGCGAGUGUAGAGGUGAAAUUCGUAGAUAUUCGCAAGAACACCAGUGGCGAAGGCGGCCAACUGGUCCGUGACUGACGCUGAGGCGCGAAAGCGUGGGGAGCAAACAGG